RNAcentral lists this ribosomal RNA (361 nucleotides) under uncultured bacterium. RNAcentral's name for it is "bacterial SSU rRNA". It matches the Rfam family "Bacterial small subunit ribosomal RNA", at positions 8 to 350 of the family's 1533-position model. The record is from RNAcentral.
AGAGUUUGAUCCUGGCUCAGGAUGAACGCUGGCGGCGUGCCUAACACAUGCAAGUCGAACGAGGUAAAUAAGAUGAAGUUUUCGGAUGGAUUCUUAUUUACCGAGUGGCGGACGGGUGAGUAACGCGUGGGUAACCUGCCUCAUACAGGGGGGAUAACGGUUAGAAAUGACUGCUAAUACCGCAUAAGCGCACAGUACCACAUGGUACAGUGUGAAAAACUCCGGUGGUAUGAGAUGGACCCGCGUCUGAUUAGCUAGUUGGUGAGGUAACGGCCACCAAGGCGACGAUCAGUAGCCGACCUGAGAGGGUGACCGGCCACAUUGGGACCUGGAGACACGGCCCAGACUCCUACGGGAGGCA